Molecule: ribosomal RNA, 497 nt
Filed under: uncultured bacterium
Lineage: Bacteria
Description: partial 16S ribosomal RNA
Rfam family: Bacterial small subunit ribosomal RNA
Source: RNAcentral
GAUGAACGCUGGCGGCGUGCCUAAUACAUGCAAGUCGAGCGAACAGACGAGGAGCUUGCUCCUCUGGCGUUAGCGGCGGACGGGUGAGUAACACGUGGAUAACCUACCUAUAAGACUGGGAUAACUUCGGGAAACCGGAGCUAAUACCGGAUAAUAUAUUGAACCGCAUGGUUCAAUAGUGAAAGACGGUUUUGCUGUCACUUUUAGAUGGAUCCGCGCCGCAUUAGCUAGUUGGUAAGGUAACGGCUUACCAAGGCAACGAUGCGUAGCCGACCUGAGAGGGUGAUCGGCCACACUGGAACUGAGACACGGUCCAGACUCUUACGGGAGGCAGCAGUAGGGAAUCUUCCGCAAUGGGCGAAAGCCUGACGGAGCAACGCCGCGUGAGUGAUGAAGGUCUUCGGAUCGUAAAACUCUGUUAUUAGGGAAGAACAAAUGUGUAAGUAACUAUGCACGUCUUGACGGUACCUAAUCAGAAAGCCACGGCUAACUACGUG